Long non-coding RNA from Felis catus (domestic cat), 1021 nucleotides. RefSeq lists it as uncharacterized. The record is from RefSeq and is a predicted model, not a curated record. The transcript is spliced from 3 exons. Lineage: Eukaryota; Metazoa; Chordata; Mammalia; Carnivora; Felidae.
UGGGACUGUGUUUUUAAGUCAGAGCGCGGCCAUUAAGCCUCGCUGGGUGAGAUACGUGUGACUGUGAGGUGAUGGCCUGACUUCUCAGCUCUUCAUUAAUACAUUCCAGCCAGCCCGGGGUGGCCCAUAGGGACAGGGUGAGGUGAGGAACUGGAAAUAUUCCCCGCAACUCAGUAAAGAUGGCAGGCAACUUGGAGAACUCUGCCCCCUCAAGGGGAACGUGGUUCUUACCCACCCUCCCCAGGCCUAUGAAUGAGCAAAGCCAGAGCGUCCCCUCUCCUCCAUUAAGCAGAUGUUCUACACAUCGCCCUCCCACUCCUUCUGCAGACCCGAGGGAGCAGCAGAACCGCUCACGUGAGAGCCGCCAGAAGGCAAGGACCGGCGCGCCCAUUCUAUCACAAGAGCAAGCUCACAGUCAAUUAUCUCAUUGUCAGAGUCUCGGUGCCCCUGCCCUACUCCACCCCCUUGGGAUCCUGUGCAUCCGAGCUUCUUUAUUUGGAAUCAUCAUCAUGUCACCAUCAAAAAUAUUUAUUCAGCUUCUGCAUAUAUAUUGUUCUGGUCACCCCAUUGAUUUUUCUCUCAUGGCAUGUAUGUAAUUUCCACUCUAUCUUUUUGAAGUUGCUUGACAUGAGUUUCUGUCAUCUUUAUACAUCAUCAGGUACGGUAUUCAAGAGCCCCAGAACUCAGAAUGGGUCCCCAGCCUUCCCUUUGCUUGGCCGUAGAAAUAACACCAGGUCUUGGUGCAGGGCAUCUUGGAUCAGGGACUGACAGAAUGGCUGCCUCUUCCAAGUACAAUCCAGAACGGAGUGGACUGAGACAUGUAGUAGUUUAUAAUCUAAAAUCAUACCACAGAGGAAACACGCAACGGGUACACAUACCACUCUACCGAUUGGCUUCGUUGCUGGAACAACAUUGGUCCAAAUGUGUUCAAAGAACACAUUGGGAUGUUGAAGUACGUUAAUAGAAAAAAAGGGGGAAGCCCCUUGGGAUGUUGAAGUAUGUUAAUAGAAAAAAAGGGGGA